RNAcentral lists this ribosomal RNA (255 nucleotides) under uncultured bacterium. RNAcentral describes it as "partial 16S ribosomal RNA". It matches the Rfam family "Bacterial small subunit ribosomal RNA", at positions 526 to 779 of the family's 1533-position model. The record is from RNAcentral.
CGAAGGGCGUAGCGUUGUUCGGAAUCACUGGGCGUAAAGACGCACGUAGGCGGAUGUGCCAGUCGGGGGUGGAAAUCCCGGAGCUCAACUUCGGAACUGCCUCUGAUACAGCACGUCUUGAGUCCGGAAGAGGUGGGUGGAAUUCCUAGUGUAGAGGUGAAAUUCGUAGAUAUUAGGAAGAACACCGGUGGCGAAGGCGGCCCACUGGUCCGGUACUGACGCUGAGGUGCGAAAGCGUGGGGAGCAAACAGGAUU